AGGCAAUCACAGGGGAGCCAACCUGCCACCUCCUGCCUCAGCAAGGGUGGCGCGAAGGCUGAGAGUGCUGCGUUUAAGCGCGGCAGACCCGUUGAACCUGCUCCAGGUAAUGCUGGCGAAGGGAUUGCUCCUGGCUGCUUU
This 141-nucleotide non-coding RNA is filed under the name Verrucomicrobiota bacterium. RNAcentral's name for it is "Verrucomicrobia bacterium TPP". It matches the Rfam family "TPP riboswitch aptamer (THI element)". Rfam says of the family: Vitamin B(1) in its active form thiamin pyrophosphate (TPP) is an essential coenzyme that is synthesised by coupling of pyrimidine and thiazole moieties in bacteria. The record is from RNAcentral. Lineage: Bacteria; Pseudomonadati; Verrucomicrobiota.